UGUUUAGUUGGCAAAUAAUGUCUCAUUUACACCCCACUGUUCAUCAUUUGUCUUGUGAGCCCAACCAUGGCAGUUCUGCAAAAUAGUUUCUAGUUUCCUGACAGUGAUUUUUGGUGGGAUUUUCUUUCUUAGAGUUAGGUUUUAAAAAAAAAAAUUUAAAAGUAGCAAGUCAAUUGCAUUGCAUGCUUUAUUAUUAUGUAUUUAAUAUUAAUAUAUUUAGCGCCUCUCCUUUUAAAAAAAUUUCAGGGAGAACAACCAUCUGCACAGCCAAUCAGAGCAGAGGGGGUGGAUUCUCGCAACAAGCGGAGUCAUCACAUGUGCGACCUGUGUGAGAAGUUGAUCAUUGGUGACUUAGAAUGGACGGCACACCAGAAACCAUCUUUAUCAAGUCCGCACGAGGAGAAAAGCCGAGCAGGCCUCAGAUCAGGACCCAAACGCUACCAAACAUCAAAAAUGUCAGUGACAGGCAGGUACCUGUACUAUAGCGCUCCCCUCUUUGGAUCUCUUGGGGUCGAGCUCACAGACGGACCAAAGAAAUGAAGUGCUCAUAAUGUAUUUUUUUAGAUCAGUGGAAGAAGGAUGCUUUCAGUUUGACUGGUUGGCAGUGAGCAGCAGUGAUACUUCAACUCUCCCUUUGGAGUAGCAGAACACACUUAAGGUUCUGUGAUUUUUGGACACCCAUAUUUGAUUUUUUUUCCAUCUGCCAAAGACCAAAGGGUACGGCUGAUUUCUGGAUUUGGAUUCUUGUGCUGGACAGAUGUCUUCCCCGCUGCUAUUUUGUCUGAGCGGUGCACUUUAUAACCACAUCUAACCGCAUCUGAUGCUCUUUUAAACCACACUGUGGCGAGCUAUGCCUAACCUCUUUGGCUGUUCUGACUGAAUUCGAAAUGCAUCACUGCUGAUGUUGGAUUACUGGAUCAAAUUUUUCCCUGCAGAUCAAGAAUGGAGGUUAUUUUUUCGUUAUUAAAUUUGGUGCCAGAUUUUAUUUGGAAGUCUUAAAUUUUGUAAUUGUCUGAUCAGUUUGGGUCAGAAUGUAACAAUGACUUCAAGCGGACUUUCUUCCUCAGGAUUGCCA
Long non-coding RNA from Cyprinus carpio (common carp), 1075 nucleotides. NCBI's taxonomy places the organism in Eukaryota, Metazoa, Chordata, Actinopteri, Cypriniformes, Cyprinidae. The record is from Ensembl.